UCGAGGGGUAGAGUGCUUCGGCACUUGAGACCGGCGUACGGGUGCGUAACGCGUGUACAAUCUACCUUUUGCUAAGGGAUAGCCCGAAGAAAUUUGGAUUAAUACCUUAUAGUAUUAUUUGGUGGCAUCAUUAAAUAAUUAAAGCUACGGUGGCAAAAGAUGAGUACGCGUCCCAUUAGCUAGUUGGAGUGGUAACGGCACACCAAGGCUACGAUGGGUAGGGGUUCUGAGAGGGAUGUCCCCCACACUGGUACUGAGACACGGACCAGACUCCUACGGGAGGCAGCAGUGAGGAAUAUUGGACAAUGGUCGGAAGACUGAUCCAGCCAUGCCGCGUGCAGGAUGACGGCCUUAUGGGUUGUAAACUGCUUUUGUAUGGGAAGAAUAAGGUCUACGUGUAGAUUGAUGACGGUACCAUACGAAUAAGCAUCGGCUAACUCCGUGCCAGCAG
This 451-nucleotide ribosomal RNA is filed under the name Capnocytophaga cynodegmi. Its description in RNAcentral is "bacterial SSU rRNA". It matches the Rfam family "Bacterial small subunit ribosomal RNA", at positions 62 to 514 of the family's 1533-position model. The record is from RNAcentral. Lineage: Bacteria; Pseudomonadati; Bacteroidota; Flavobacteriia; Flavobacteriales; Flavobacteriaceae.